CCUACGGGAGGCAGCAGUGAGGAAUAUUGGUCAAUGGACGAGAGUCUGAACCAGCCAAGUAGCGUGAAGGAUGACUGCCCUAUGGGUUGUAAACUUCUUUUAUAUGGGAAUAAAAUGUUCCACGUGUGGGAUUUUGUAUGUACCAUAUGAAUAAGGAUCGGCUAACUCCGUGCCAGCAGCCGCGGUAAUACGGAGGAUCCGAGCGUUAUCCGGAUUUAUUGGGUUUAAAGGGAGCGUAGGUGGAUUGUUAAGUCAGUUGUGAAAGUUUGCGGCUCAACCGUAAAAUUGCAGUUGAAACUGGCAGUCUUGAGUACAGUAGAGGUGGGCGGAAUUCGUGGUGUAGCGGUGAAAUGCUUAGAUAGCACGAAGAACUCCGAUUGCGAAGGCAGCUCACUGGACUGCAACUGACACUGAGGCUCGAAAGUGUGGGUAGCAAACAGGAGUAGAUACCCCAGUAGUC
Molecule: ribosomal RNA, 460 nt
Filed under: uncultured bacterium
Lineage: Bacteria
Description: partial 16S ribosomal RNA
Rfam family: Bacterial small subunit ribosomal RNA
Source: RNAcentral